CUACGGGGCGCUCCAGUGGGGAAUAUUGCACAAUGGGGGAAACCCUGAUGCAGCAACGCCGCGUGGAGGAUGACGCAUUUCGGUGUGUAAACUCCUUUUAUAUAGGAAGAUAAUGACGGUACUAUAUGGAUAAGCACCGGCUAACUCCGUGCCAGCAGCCGCGGUAAUACGGAGGGUGCAAGCGUUACUCGGAAUCACUGGGCGUAAAGCGCGCGCAGGCGGCCCCUUAAGUUGGAUGUGAAAGCCUACGGCUUAACCGUAGAACUGCAUCCAAAACUGAGGGGCUAGAGUCUGGGAGGGGAAGAUGGAAUUAGUUGUGUAGGGGUAAAAUCCGUAGAGAUAACUAGGAAUACCAAAAGCGAAGGCGAUCUUCUGGAACAGUACUGACGCUGAGGCGCGAAAGCGUGGGGAGCAAACAGGAUUAGAUACCCUUGUAGUC
This 439-nucleotide ribosomal RNA is filed under the name uncultured bacterium. RNAcentral's name for it is "partial 16S ribosomal RNA". It matches the Rfam family "Bacterial small subunit ribosomal RNA", at positions 339 to 795 of the family's 1533-position model. The record is from RNAcentral.